CCUACGGGGGGCAGCAGUGAGGAAUAUUGGUCAAUGGCCGGAAGGCUGACCCAGCAACGCCGCGUGAAGGAAGAAGGCUUUCGGGUUGUAAACUUCUUUUAAGGGGGACGAACAAAUGACGGUACCCCUUGAAUAAGCCACGGCUAACUACGUGCCAGCAGCCGCGGUAAUACGUAGGUGGCAAGCGUUAUCCGGAUUUAUUGGGUGUAAAGGGCGUGUAGGCGGGAGCGCAAGUCAGAUGUGAAAACUCAGGGCUCAACCCUGAGCCUGCAUUUGAAACUGUGUUUCUUGAGUGCUGGAGAGGCAAUCGGAAUUCCGUGUGUAGCGGUGAAAUGCGUAGAUAUACGGAGGAACACCAGUGGCGAAGGCGGAUUGCUGGACAGUAACUGACGCUGAGGCGCGAAAGCGUGGGGAGCAAACAGGAUUAGAUACCCCGGUAGUC
Molecule: ribosomal RNA, 442 nt
Filed under: uncultured bacterium
Lineage: Bacteria
Description: partial 16S ribosomal RNA
Rfam family: Bacterial small subunit ribosomal RNA
Source: RNAcentral